This 489-nucleotide ribosomal RNA is filed under the name uncultured bacterium. RNAcentral describes it as "partial 16S ribosomal RNA". It matches the Rfam family "Bacterial small subunit ribosomal RNA", at positions 28 to 507 of the family's 1533-position model. The record is from RNAcentral.
GAUGAACGCUCGCGGCAGGCUUAAUACAUGCAAGUCGUGGGGCGGCAGGACUGUAGCAAUACAGUUGCUGGCGACCGGCAAACGGGUGCGGAACACGUACGCAACUUACCCUGAACUGGGGGAUAGCCCGGGGAAACCCGGAUUAAUACCCCGUAAUAUAAUGGAGUGGCAUCACUUUAUUAUUAAAGCUCCGGCGGUUCGGGAUGGGCGUGCGGCUGAUUAGGUAGUUGGUUGAGGUAACGGCUCACCAAGCCUACGAUCAGUAACUGGUGUGAGAGCACGACCAGUCACACGGGCACUGAGACACGGGCCCGACUCCUACGGGAGGCAGCAGUAAGGAAUAUUGGGCAAUGGAGGCAACUCUGACCCAGCCAUGCCGCGUGGAGGAUGAAGGCCCUCUGGGUUGUAAACUUCUUUUAUGGGGGACGAAACCUGUGUAUUCUUACGCAGUUGACGGUACCCUAGGAAUAAGCACCGGCUAACUCCGUG